This 236-nucleotide long non-coding RNA is filed under the name Carica papaya (papaya). RNAcentral describes it as "long non-coding RNA (CPAP_LNC007964)". Lineage: Eukaryota; Viridiplantae; Streptophyta; Magnoliopsida; Brassicales; Caricaceae. The record is from RNAcentral.
CAUUAUUGACAUCUAAGAAUCACCGAGAGACCUUUAAAACUAAGAGUAAUUAUUAUGUGAGGGUGUCGAGAUGAGAAAGAGGGUUGAGAGCUAGGAAGGAAGUUGAGAACAAAUAGAGGAUGGGGGAGUGUGAGGAGAGAGAGAUUGAGACAAUAAAGAAAGAGCAACUAAGAGAGGAGAUGACUUUGGUAAGUGAAUUGAUAAUUGAUAAUGGUUCUUGACGAGGCUUCGAGCUU